Pteropus vampyrus (large flying fox) is the source of this 107-nucleotide small nuclear RNA. Lineage: Eukaryota; Metazoa; Chordata; Mammalia; Chiroptera; Pteropodidae. The record is from Ensembl.
GUGCUGGCUUUGGUAGCACAUAUACUAAAAUUGGAACAAUACAAAGAAGAUCAGCAUGGUCUCUGCACAAGGAUGACACACAAAUUCGUGAAGCGUUGAUAUGCAUA